This 2923-nucleotide ribosomal RNA is filed under the name Klebsiella pneumoniae. RNAcentral's name for it is "23S ribosomal RNA". It matches the Rfam family "Bacterial large subunit ribosomal RNA". The record is from RNAcentral. Lineage: Bacteria; Pseudomonadati; Pseudomonadota; Gammaproteobacteria; Enterobacterales; Enterobacteriaceae.
GGGUUGUGAGGUUAAGCGACUAAGCGUACACGGUGGAUGCCCUGGCAGUCAGAGGCGAUGAAGGACGUGCUAAUCUGCGAAAAGCGUCGGUAAGGUGAUAUGAACCGUUAUAACCGGCGAUGUCCGAAUGGGGAAACCCAGUGCAAUUCGUUGCACUAUCGUUAACUGAAUACAUAGGUUAACGAGGCGAACCGGGGGAACUGAAACAUCUAAGUACCCCGAGGAAAAGAAAUCAACCGAGAUUCCCCCAGUAGCGGCGAGCGAACGGGGAGCAGCCCAGAGUCUGAAUCAGCUUGUGUGUUAGUGGAACGGUCUGGAAAGUCCGACGGUACAGGGUGAUAGUCCCGUACACCAAAAUGCACAGGUUGUGAACUCGAAGAGUAGGGCGGGACACGUGGUAUCCUGUCUGAAUAUGGGGGGCCCAUCCUCCAAGGCUAAAUACUCCUGACUGACCGAUAGUGAACCAGUACCGUGAGGGAAAGGCGAAAAGAAGCCCGGCGAGGGGAGUGAAAAAGAACCUGAAACCGUGUACGUACAAGCAGUGGGAGCACCUUCGGGUGUGACUGCGUACCUUUUGUAUAAUGGGUCAGCGACUUAUAUUCUGUAGCAAGGUUAACCGUAUAGGGGAGCCGCAGGGAAACCGAGUCUUAACUGGGCGUUAAGUUGCAGGGUAUAGACCCGAAACCCGGUGAUCUAGCCAUGGGCAGGUUGAAGGUUGGGUAACACUAACUGGAGGACCGAACCGACUAAUGUUGAAAAAUUAGCGGAUGACUUGUGGCUGGGGGUGAAAGGCCAAUCAAACCGGGAGAUAGCUGGUUCUCCCCGAAAGCUAUUUAGGUAGCGCCUCGUGAAUUCAUCUUCGGGGGUAGAGCACUGUUUCGGCUAGGGGGUCAUCCCGACUUACCAACCCGAUGCAAACUACGAAUACCGAAGAAUGUUAUCACGGGAGACACACGGCGGGUGCUAACGUCCGUCGUGAAGAGGGAAACAACCCAGACCGCCAGCUAAGGUCCCAAAGUCAUGGUUAAGUGGGAAACGAUGUGGGAAGGCACAGACAGCCAGGAUGUUGGCUUAGAAGCAGCCAUCAUUUAAAGAAAGCGUAAUAGCUCACUGGUCGAGUCGGCCUGCGCGGAAGAUGUAACGGGGCUAAACCAUGCACCGAAGCUGCGGCAGCGACACUAUGUGUUGUUGGGUAGGGGAGCGUUCUGUAAGCCUGCGAAGGUGUGCUGUGAGGCAUGCUGGAGGUAUCAGAAGUGCGAAUGCUGACAUAAGUAACGAUAAAGCGGGUGAAAAGCCCGCUCGCCGGAAGACCAAGGGUUCCUGUCCAACGUUAAUCGGGGCAGGGUGAGUCGACCCCUAAGGCGAGGCCGAAAGGCGUAGUCGAUGGGAAACAGGUUAAUAUUCCUGUACUUGGUGUUACUGCGAAGGGGGGACGGAGAAGGCUAUGUUAGCCGGGCGACGGUUGUCCCGGUUUAAGCAUGUAGGCUGAUUGUCCAGGCAAAUCCGGAUAAUCAAGGCUGAGGUGUGAUGACGAGGCACUACGGUGCUGAAGUAACAAAUGCCCUGCUUCCAGGAAAAGCCUCUAAGCAUCAGGUAACAUCAAAUCGUACCCCAAACCGACACAGGUGGUCAGGUAGAGAAUACCAAGGCGCUUGAGAGAACUCGGGUGAAGGAACUAGGCAAAAUGGUGCCGUAACUUCGGGAGAAGGCACGCUGGUGUGUAGGUGAAGUCCCUGCGGAUGGAGCUGAGACCAGUCGAAGAUACCAGCUGGCUGCAACUGUUUAUUAAAAACACAGCACUGUGCAAACACGAAAGUGGACGUAUACGGUGUGACGCCUGCCCGGUGCCGGAAGGUUAAUUGAUGGGGUUAUCCGUAAGGAGAAGCUCUUGAUCGAAGCCCCGGUAAACGGCGGCCGUAACUAUAACGGUCCUAAGGUAGCGAAAUUCCUUGUCGGGUAAGUUCCGACCUGCACGAAUGGCGUAAUGAUGGCCAGGCUGUCUCCACCCGAGACUCAGUGAAAUUGAACUCGCUGUGAAGAUGCAGUGUACCCGCGGCAAGACGGAAAGACCCCGUGAACCUUUACUAUAGCUUGACACUGAACAUUGAGCCUUGAUGUGUAGGAUAGGUGGGAGGCUUUGAAGCGUGGACGCCAGUCUGCGUGGAGCCAACCUUGAAAUACCACCCUUUAAUGUUUGAUGUUCUAACGUUGGCCCCUUACCGGGGUUGCGGACAGUGUCUGGUGGGUAGUUUGACUGGGGCGGUCUCCUCCCAAAGCGUAACGGAGGAGCACGAAGGUUAGCUAAUCCUGGUCGGACAUCAGGAGGUUAGUGCAAUGGCAUAAGCUAGCUUGACUGCGAGCGUGACGGCGCGAGCAGGUGCGAAAGCAGGUCAUAGUGAUCCGGUGGUUCUGAAUGGAAGGGCCAUCGCUCAACGGAUAAAAGGUACUCCGGGGAUAACAGGCUGAUACCGCCCAAGAGUUCAUAUCGACGGCGGUGUUUGGCACCUCGAUGUCGGCUCAUCACAUCCUGGGGCUGAAGUAGGUCCCAAGGGUAUGGCUGUUCGCCAUUUAAAGUGGUACGCGAGCUGGGUUUAGAACGUCGUGAGACAGUUCGGUCCCUAUCUGCCGUGGGCGCUGGAGAAUUGAGGGGGGCUGCUCCUAGUACGAGAGGACCGGAGUGGACGCAUCACUGGUGUUCGGGUUGUCAUGCCAAUGGCACUGCCCGGUAGCUAAAUGCGGAAGAGAUAAGUGCUGAAAGCAUCUAAGCACGAAACUUGCCCCGAGAUGAGUUCUCCCUGAGACUUUAAGUCUCCUGAAGGAACGUUGAAGACGACGACGUUGAUAGGCCGGGUGUGUAAGCGCAGCGAUGCGUUGAGCUAACCGGUACUAAUGAACCGUGAGGCUUAACCUUACAACGCCGAAG